GACGAACCGUGCGACCGUUAUUCGGAAUCACUGGGCUUAAAGCGCGUGUAGGCGGGCCGGCACGUCGGUCGCUGAAAUCCCCCGGCUCAACCGGGGAAGGGGCGCCGAUUCGACCGGCCUGGAGGGGGGUAGGGGGCGCUGGAACUCACGGUGGAGCGGUGAAAUGCGUUGAGAUCGUGAGGAACGCCCGCGGCGAAAGCGAGCGCCUGGACCCUUUCUGACGCCGAGACGCGAAAGCCAGGGGAGCGAACGGG
Molecule: ribosomal RNA, 254 nt
Filed under: uncultured bacterium
Lineage: Bacteria
Description: partial 16S ribosomal RNA
Rfam family: Bacterial small subunit ribosomal RNA
Source: RNAcentral